GAUGAACGCUGGCGGCGUGCCUAACACAUGCCAGUCGAGCGAACAGACGAUGAGCUCGUUCUUCUGACGUUAGCGGCGGACGGGUGAGUAACACGUGGAUAACCUUCCUAUAUUACUUGGAUAACUUCGGGAAACCGGAGCUACUACUGGAUAAUAUAUUGAACCGCAUGGUUCAAUAGUUAUUGACGGUUUUGCUGUCACUUAUAGAUGGUUCCGUGUCGGAUUAGUUAGUGGGUAAGGUAACGGCUUACCAAGGCAACGAUGCGUAGCGGAACUGAGAGGAGGAGCAGCCACAAUGGAACGGAGACACGGUCCAGACCCCUAAGGGAGGCAGGAGUGGGGAAGAUUGGAGAAUGGGCGAAAACCGGAACGAGCCAGACCGCGUGGGGGAAGAAGGCCUUCGGGUUGUAAAACCCUUUUGUUGGGAAAAAAAAGAAGGAGGAUAAAACCCCGCUGUUCUGACGGUACCCAAAGAAGAAGCACCGGCUAACUUCGUG
This 497-nucleotide ribosomal RNA is filed under the name uncultured bacterium. Its description in RNAcentral is "partial 16S ribosomal RNA". It matches the Rfam family "Bacterial small subunit ribosomal RNA", at positions 28 to 507 of the family's 1533-position model. The record is from RNAcentral.